Molecule: long non-coding RNA, 242 nt
Filed under: Homo sapiens (human)
Lineage: Eukaryota; Metazoa; Chordata; Mammalia; Primates; Hominidae
Description: HSALNT0213054
Source: RNAcentral
CCAAGGUUGUGUGCUAUAAAUAGAAGGUACUGGUAAAAAUAUAUGUGAAAACCAGUAUUACUGAAUUCUAGCUAGAUGCUGUGUUACCUGCCAAGGCUGAGACUGAGGGCUGACCUUGCUUUGUUAAAGAGAUUAUCAAGUCUAGAGAAGUAUAAAAGACACAUUAGCAGCAACCAGAGACUGAGUCCUUGGCAUAAUCAGGAUUGAAAGAGAAUUAAAAGGGAAGGUUACUUAAUCCUAUG